UACAUAAAAAGAGGGAAUCAGGGUUUAUUGCUUUUAUUUGCCUAGAUUUUUGCAUGACAUGCAUAUGAGAAUAUGGGGAGUCAGCAGACAAGCAUAACACCACCCACCGAAAAUCUUUUGUCUGUAUUCUUGUUACACCUAUUCGACAUUAUUCUACAUUGAUAUUAAAAUGAAAAAGAAAGAAAAGAAAAAGUAAAGAGAAAAGGAAAGAAACAAGAAAGGGAGGUGAGACAAAAGAGAGAGGAAAGGCAAAAAAAAAAGCCGGAGAACAAGGGAGAAAAGAAGACCAAAAGGGAGCAGGUAGAAAAAAAGAAGGAAUUUUCUUUACGUAAGGGUACUAUGCACAAUAAUAAAAAGAAGGGAGGAAUGGUUGGAGGCUGAGAAGAGAAGAAAGGAGUCUUGGGUUCUCUUUGUGUUCUUUUCAAGAAGAGGUUGAUAUUCGAAUCUGAUUUGGAAUCUCGUCUAUAUCUCAUUCAAGGUGAUGUUUGAGUGUGAUAUUUGUUUCAGAUUUGUGGGCUUUGAUGUUGAAAUAGUGGGGUCUUCUAUAAUGAUAAGCAUGGUAUAGACUAUGAAGUGUAUAUAUUGAUUCAUUAGACCUCAUUAUAUCACUAGUUACUGAUUUAAAACGUCAUGACGCAUUUCAAAGUGUGAUUAUAUGGAAUGUAAAAUGGUGUCUAUGUGAGUGAAUCUUUGAAUAUGGAUUUGAUUUGAUAUUACAUUUGAAUACUCCUUUUGACCA
Long non-coding RNA from Tripterygium wilfordii, 739 nucleotides. RefSeq lists it as uncharacterized. The record is from RefSeq and is a predicted model, not a curated record. NCBI's taxonomy places the organism in Eukaryota, Viridiplantae, Streptophyta, Magnoliopsida, Celastrales, Celastraceae. The transcript has 2 exons.